Long non-coding RNA from Leptopilina heterotoma, 281 nucleotides. RefSeq lists it as uncharacterized. The transcript is spliced from 3 exons. Lineage: Eukaryota; Metazoa; Arthropoda; Insecta; Hymenoptera; Figitidae. The record is from RefSeq and is a predicted model, not a curated record.
GGUUUCUCGUUUGAUGGAGUCGAUGGGCAAUGAACUAUUCCGGAUGAAUUGACAUUUAUGAAAAUGGGCGAAAGUCAUUUCGCAAUUAUGGACAAAAAGGAGAUGGAUUUUAUAAGAGAUAAGAAUCUCUAUAAUUGUCAAUAUCCGCACUCUGCCACUUUGACAUAAUUUGCUAUAAUCUCUUAGUUUGGAAAUCUGAUCAAUAAUCGAAUCAAGAGUCUGUGCAUCGAAAGAAACAGUAUAGAGCUGGGUACUUGUCUAGUUUCUUUUGUCAAACUGCC